CUCAAUCCGAAGAUCGAACAGCUAGUAUCCAUCGUUUACGGCGUGGACUACCAGGGUAUCUAAUCCUGUUCGCUCCCCACGCUUUCGUCCCUCAGCGUCAAUAUAGUGUUAGUGAUCUGCCUUCGCAAUUGGUAUUCUGUGUAAUAUCUAUGCAUUUCACCGCUACACUACACAUUCUAAUCACUUCACACUAAUUCAAGAAACCCAGUAUCAAUGGCAAUUUUACAGUUGAGCUGUAAGAUUUCACCACUGACUUAGAUUCCCGCCUACGGACCCUUUAAACCCAAUGAUUCCGGAUAACGCUCGGACCCUCCGUAUUACCGCGGCUGCUGGCACGGAGUUAGCCGGUCCUUAUUCUUAUAGUACCGUCAGCUUCUCACACGUGAAAAGGUUUCUUCCUAUAUAAAAGCGGUUUACAACCCAUAGGGCCGUCUUCCUGCACGCGGCAUGGCUGGAUCAGAGUUACCUCCAUUGUCCAAUAUUCCUCACUGCUGCCUCCCGUAGGAGUCUGGUCCGUGUCUCAGUACCAGUGUGGGGGAUCCCCCUCUCAGGGCCCCUACCUAUCGUUGUCUUGGUAAGCCGUUACCUUACCAACUAACUAAUAGGACGCAUACUCAUCUUAUACCGCCGAAGCUUUACUAUUUAUAUAAUGCUAUAUUAAUAGACCAUGAGGUAUUAAUCUUCAUUUCUAAAGGCUAUCCCUCUGUAUAAGGCAGAUUGUAUACGCGUUACGCACCCGUGCGCCGGUCGUCAGCAAGUAGCAAGCUACCUCUGUUACCCCUCGACUUGCAUGUGUUAAGCCUGCCGCUAGCGUUCAUCCUGAGCCAGGAUCAAACUCU
Molecule: ribosomal RNA, 839 nt
Filed under: uncultured bacterium
Lineage: Bacteria
Description: partial 16S ribosomal RNA
Source: RNAcentral